CCCUUAGAUGUUCUGGGCUGCACGCGCGCUACACUGAUGCGCUCAACGAGUUUAUGAACUUGCCCGGAAGGGUUGGUUAAUCUUUUUAAAACGCAUCGUGAUGGGGAUAGAUUAUUGCAAUUAUUAAUCUUCAACGAGGAAUUCCUAGUAAACGCAGAUCAUCAAUCUGCAUUGAUUACGUCCCUGCCCUUUGUACACACCGCCCGUCGCACCUACCGAUUGGAUGGUCCGGUGAAGCCUCGGGAUUGUGGUUCUUGCCGCUUUAUUGUGGCGUGACCGCGAGAACUUGUCUAAACCUUAUCAUCUAGAGGAAGGUGAAGUCGUAACA
RNAcentral lists this ribosomal RNA (328 nucleotides) under uncultured eukaryote. RNAcentral's name for it is "partial 18S ribosomal RNA". It matches the Rfam family "Eukaryotic small subunit ribosomal RNA", at positions 1470 to 1796 of the family's 1831-position model. The record is from RNAcentral.